GCCACGGUUUUCUCCUGGAAUAUGAUUCCGAAGUCAGUCCUAUAGCUUCCAAUAGAUCAAAUCGAUAUAUAAAUCAACCAGGAAUAUAAAGCAAUCAGCCAAUCACCAAUAGGACUAUGAGGCUUAGGGACUUAUAUCCGCGGAGCAAGCUGGACACCCCGAGCAUCCCAUAUCAGACAUGUGUCAUCAUCUGACGAUCUGCAAAGAUUUUAUAAAGGGCUCAUGGAGCUUACCAGUUGA
Long non-coding RNA from Arabidopsis thaliana (thale cress), 240 nucleotides. RefSeq annotates it as other RNA. The transcript has a single exon. NCBI's taxonomy places the organism in Eukaryota, Viridiplantae, Streptophyta, Magnoliopsida, Brassicales, Brassicaceae. The record is from RefSeq.